GUAGGAAUUUUGCGCAAUGGGCGAAAGCCUGACGCAGCAACGCCGCGUGGGGGAUGAAGGUCCUCGGAUUGUAAACCCCUUUCGAUGGGAACGAAAUUGACGGUACCCAGAGAAGAAGCCCCGGCCAACUACGUGCCAGCAGCCGCGGUAAUACGUAGGGGGCGAGCGUUGUCCGGAUUUAUUGGGCGUAAAGAGCUCGUAGGCGGUUGAGGAAGUCGGGCGUGAAAUACCGGGGCUUAACUCCGGGACGCCGUCCGAUACUCCUCUGACUAGAGUCCGGUAGGGGAAGGUGGAAUACCUGGUGUAGCGGUGAAAUGCACAGAUAUCAGGUGGAACACCGGUGGCGAAGGCGGCCUUCUGGGCCGGUACUGACGCUGAGGAGCGAAAGCUAGGGGAGCGAACAGG
RNAcentral lists this ribosomal RNA (405 nucleotides) under uncultured bacterium. RNAcentral's name for it is "bacterial SSU rRNA". It matches the Rfam family "Bacterial small subunit ribosomal RNA", at positions 355 to 776 of the family's 1533-position model. The record is from RNAcentral.